UCGACCCCGUCAAAUAUGACACUUUCGAUAUCAAAGGUGUAAGGGCUUGGAGGUGAUGGUGCAAACACAUAUUGACAGUGGAUCACCGUUUCUCAGGUUAUAUGUGGAAUUUUCAAGGCCAGAUGAAAGCCCUUAGACAUCAACUAUUCUUGUUCGAAAGACCAAAACGGUUGAAAAUGUCGAUAGUCGAAUGACACAGUUGUGUGGUGGGUUCAUCACUUUAUUAGAAAGUUCCUAUUAUGAUAUCUCGGAAUUAUCAAUGGGAAGACAUUCAUCCAUAUAGGCCUUAGAUUUCAACCGUGGGAGGCAAGACACAGAACAAUUGGGUGUUGGUGGUAAAACAAAAUACACGACCCCUACAUGAUACUCAGUUAGCAUGUUUGAC
This 385-nucleotide long non-coding RNA is filed under the name Gossypium barbadense (sea-island cotton). Its description in RNAcentral is "long non-coding RNA (GBAR_LNC019954)". Lineage: Eukaryota; Viridiplantae; Streptophyta; Magnoliopsida; Malvales; Malvaceae. The record is from RNAcentral.